GGACCCGCACAAGCGGUGGAGCAUGUGGUUUAAUUCGAAGCAACGCGAAGAACCUUACCUAAACUUGACAUCCUCUUGACCGGACCUUAAUCGGUCCUUCUAAGGCUUGCCUUAGCAAGAGAGACAGGUGGUGCAUGGUUGUCGUCAGCUCGUGUCGUGAGAUGUUGGGUUAAGUCCCGCAACGAGCGCAACCCUUAUCUUUAGUAGCCAUCAUUCAGUUGGGCACUCUAGAGAGACUGCCAGGGAUAACCUGGAGGAAGGUGGGGAUGACGUCAAAUCAUCAUGCCCCUUAUGUUUAGGGCUACACACGUGCUACAAUGGCUGCUACAAAGGGAAGCGAUCUAGUGAUAGUCAGCAAACCUCAAAAAAGCAGUCCCAGUUCGGAUUGUAGUCUGCAACUCGACUACAUGAAGUUGGAAUCGCUAGUAAUCGCGAAUCAGAAUGUCGCGGUGAAUACGUUCCCGGGUCUU
This 470-nucleotide ribosomal RNA is filed under the name uncultured bacterium. RNAcentral's name for it is "bacterial SSU rRNA". It matches the Rfam family "Bacterial small subunit ribosomal RNA", at positions 917 to 1382 of the family's 1533-position model. The record is from RNAcentral.